AGUUGCAUCACAAACUGCUAUUUGGACUAAGAACUCGACACAGCGGGCUCCAUUCCUCAAGCUUUAUAACUUUGUCCCGUGACUUUCAUCGCAACACUCUAUCAAAUAUCACCCAAAUACCAGGAAGUGCUCGUAAGUUUGGAAAUAUUCGCUGCAAUAUCCCAAGGCAUCAUUACAUGGAAAUCAAAGUAUUCAACAUUAUAAGAUUUACAGUUAAUUAAGCAGAAGGUAGGUGCUGAAAUUACUAUCUUAAAACUUGCUUAAACGUCAGUCUCAGCGCCCGGCACUUAUUACAAUUGCCCAUUUCAAUGUUUACUUUACACUUUAUGCACUUUUAAGAGAUGGAUUCCAUUCAAUGCACAUCAAUGAUAUUAUAGGGUUGCAUUCUGAUCAGCAUGAAAAUUAAACCACAAUAUUACAUAUCUGAAAAGUGUAAGUAAUUAUUGAAUCUGGGAAUUGGUGUACCAAGUUAAGGAGACCAUUCGGUUGAUAGGGAUGCAAGUACCUGAAAAAUACAAGGAGAACUUCGACGUUUCAAGCGAAAGCCCUUUCGGCGUCAGGAAGUUAGUAGCGAUAGUGCCGACAAAGGGUCUUAGACCACUCUUCGCUCGAAACCACGAAGUUCUCCUUGUAUUUUUUAGGUAGUUGCAUAUAUCUCUCACACACCAACCCCUCUUCUCGUCUCUUCGCCAAAAAACAACAUGGUAGUUGCAUGGAUAGGUUAGAUGACUCAGUUUUGAUGUUAGGGAGUUUGAGCAACACAAUGAAGCACAAAGACGAAGGCGUACUUGACAAUUUUUCCCGUCUGUACAUUAUCUUGCGCAUACCGAGUUGGACGUCACUGGUGGUUGCUCAAUGUGUCUUCCCAUGUGUAGCUGUUUAUGAAUACUGACCCUAAUUCUUGCCCUGACGCAGACAAAAGUGACAAAACAGCGAGACAUGAAACUAUAUAUCCCGUCUUUGUUCUGCUGCCUUUGUAUACAGUACAAAGUUCACGAAGAAUUUUGCCAAAAUAUUCGUUCCGAACGAAAGCAGAAUAACGAAGACGGGAUAUGGAUUCAAGGAUUUGGGUCAGCAUUCAUAUAAAACAGCUAGACAUGAAUGUCUCAAAUGUCUAAUCUGUCUUCACCCCUGACCCUCAACUCAGAAUACGCACAAGACAAUGUGCAAGACAGACUAAAAUUGUCAACUACGUCUUCGUCGUCCUACUUCGUUCUCUUGCUCAAACUCUCUAUUUUUUCUCGGAACAAUGUCAUAAAGAUCACGUUAAGAAUGAGAUUAAGAUAACUAUAAAGCCUUCGUCGAUGAAGGCCCUUAAUUUUCGCUCGAAACGUCGAGUUCUCCUUGUAUUUUUCAGCUAUAGUUACAUCGAUAUCAACCGAAGUUUUGUUAGUAUUGGCACUGACCUAUCCAAAUGACCGCCCUGCAUGCGCCGAGAAAAAGUUGCAGUUGAAUCAUAACAUGUAUUCAGUGAUGUAUUCGGCUGUCCAAUCAUUAUUAUGUGUCACUUAUAGCCAUAGUUUGUCUUCUGUGCAUGUGAAGCAAAAUAAACAAAGAUAUACAUGCACUUAAGCCGGGAAUAUAUUUUCGCUUUAAAUUAGGGAGCGGUCAUUAAUUUCAUACCCCUCCUUAUAAUUCUGCAGGGUGUCCCAAAAAAACCCAAGACUAUGGAAAUAACGUAAUAUUGUUAGAAUUUGAAUGCCUCAGCACUCUGCUGAACCCACAAGUGCAUAAAGGCUUUACAUAGCAAUAGGCCUAAGUAAAUUUUAUGCUUAAAGGAACUGUUUAAGAAGCUGCUUUAACUCCCAAAGCAGAAAAUCGUGAGCUUUACAAAGAUAUUUAAAUGUCUUAAUAAGUCAAUAUUUAUAAUAUAUAUGCACCCUAUCAAUAUUUUACGCACUUUGCGUUCAGUUUAGUGGGAGGGCAUUCAAAUUCUAAAAAUACGUUAUUUCUGAAUAUUUUUUUGUUUUUUGGGGACACCCUUAGUACCUGUACAGAAGCUGCUUUGUGCCAGACAUAUUAACAUUUAAAUUAACUGCUGUAUUGGGAAAGUAUGCAUGCACUCUUUGAACUUUUCAUUCUGGCCAAUGCCAGAUAUUCUAUUUGGGAGCCGGAGUGGAUAUCUCACUAUUAAAGAUGCACCCCUGCAUGGCUCUUUAUGGGUUAAUAAACGCUACAGUAUAUAUAUAUAUAUAUAUAUAUAUAUAUAUAUAUAUAUAUAUAUAUAUAUAUAUAUAUAUAUAUAUAUAUAUAUAUAUAUAUAUAUAUAUACAAAGUGUAUAAAAAAAACGCAAUCCAAGUUUAAGGCUUUAUAACCAAAAUAAUAUGGAUUUCCAUGUCUUAACUUUUAGUUCAUGUUUUAGCCUUAUCUUUUUUCUAUUCAAUAAGUGGUCGAUUGUGAAUUGUCGACUUAAGUUGGCAUCCUUAUCAAAUAAACCUUCGACACGAGUUGAAAGACAAUGAUUAUCCCGAGGCGACUUCAAUUCUGCCGAUGGUUCAACCAACAGCUACGAAACCCUCGAUUCUUAGCAAAUUUCGUUGUUGGGGACGAGGCCGGAUUUUGUAUGAAUGGUGACUGUUAAUUCUCACAAUGUCCGCCAGUACGCUCCCAGAGGCGAACCACCAGACUUUCAUUAUUACAGACGCCACCAAAAGAUAUCAACAAUCUGAGGAAGAAGAUACAGCUUGAAGCAGAUGCUUUGCAUGGAAAUCCUGAACUUAUAAGAAGAGUUGCACGAGAAAUGCAACGUCGAAGUGAUUUGUGUGUGCUGAGAAAUGGUGGCCACGUUGAAUAAUUGUAACCAACUAAAGUUAAAUGUUUAAUAAAAUUCAAGCUAUCUCAAAUUUUAAAUUGUCCAAUCACACUUACUAAAAAUAACAUUACUCGCUCAUUUCCAACUCAAAUUUAAACCAAUAAGCAGUCUUAAGAAUGCGGAAUGAUAGAGCUUUCUAACAGUAGUAAAUAUAGCCUAUUUCCUAAUUCUUUUCGUUAUGAAAAUUUCAUUUGAACGUAGGAUUGCGUUUUUUUUAUACACCCUGUAUAUAUAUAUAUAUAUAUAUAUAUAUAUAUAUAUAUAUAUAUAUAUAUAUAUAUAUAUAUAUAUAUAUAUAUAUAUAUAUAUAUAUAUUUGUUGUUUCAAGCCGCUUUGCAUGCUUUUUAUAAAAUUGGUCUUAACCUUCCUAGGAAGAAAGAUUUCCGUUCAUGCCCCCCCCCGCCAAAUAAAAAAGCAUCCGCCCCCACCCCAUGACACAUACUUAAUGACCGCUCUAUUUAAUGAGCGCUACUAUUGUUUUUGAAAAUGCCAAAAAUUAGCAUGAAAACAAUCUUUAGUUAUAAUUGUCAAUGUAGUUCUACUUGUUAAAUAGUCUUUUUAUUUUGGUUGUAUCUCGCUCAAUCAGUUGCAUGUAAAUUCAAGUACAAUAUACAAAAUCUAAGUUAGUCCUUUCAGAAUGCAUUAAUCGUCAUUUCAUUGUGCUAGCUUUUACACUAUAUGAAAUCAAACAGUGUCCAGUUUUGUUUGGGACACCCGGAAGUUCAACUGCAAUUUAUUUAGCCGGUUUUCCAUUUCACCCGUACCGUACCAUAACCGAACGUAGCGAAAACGUUUUUAAAUUUCAAAAUUUCGUAAAUGUUGAUUGGUUAGUACUUCCGUAGUACGCCAAAAAGUUGACUUGCGACGAACUUUUUAUUUUGAUACGCGAAUACACCCGGAAGUACGUGGAUUUAUAAACCUCUUUUCAAUCUGCGCAUGCUCACCGAUACGUUGCGGUACGAUACGGGCGAAGUGGAAAACCGGCUUUUCUACGCUGAACACGUCAUUUGGAUGUGCAGUGGAAAAUCUAAAUUGGUUUAUGAGAAUUUUUAUUAUGUUAUUGACAUUGUUAGAAGAUGGAGCAGCCACCACCCUACAGUCCAGAGGGACCGCACCACCACCCACAGCGUGGAUAUCAAGGAUAUGAGCCACUUCCUAACACCGAUUAUACCCCACAACAACAGGCUGGGUAUCCACCACAGAAACAUUAUGAAGGGGGAUAUCAAAACCAAGGGUAUCCGCCUCAAAACCCGGGGUAUCCACCUCAAAACUCAGGAUAUCCACCUCAAGGACAAGAAACUAAUAUUCAGCAACCUGCAGGGUUUUCUUCGCAACGUACCAAUAAUACAAUCGUGGUGGUACAAGUAAGGGUCUGUUAUAGAGGUGUGCAUCGGAUCGGAUUGGACGUUUAUAAUCCGACAAUUGCCUAAUGUUUAAAAUUCGAUCCGAUCCGAAAUUGUCUAAUCCGAAUCCGAUCCGAGUUUCGAUAAAGAAUUCCAAUCCGAUC
Paramuricea clavata is the source of this 4320-nucleotide non-coding RNA. The record is from the annotation of a GenBank genome assembly. Lineage: Eukaryota; Metazoa; Cnidaria; Anthozoa; Malacalcyonacea; Plexauridae.